RNAcentral lists this ribosomal RNA (455 nucleotides) under uncultured bacterium. RNAcentral describes it as "bacterial SSU rRNA". It matches the Rfam family "Bacterial small subunit ribosomal RNA", at positions 340 to 786 of the family's 1533-position model. The record is from RNAcentral.
UACGGGAGGCAGCAGUGGGGAAUAUUGCACAAUGGGCGCAAGCCUGAUGCAGCCAUGCCGCGUGUAUGAAGAAGGCCUUCGGGUUGUAAAGUACUUCCAGUCGUGAGGAAGGUGUUAAGGUUAAUAACCUUAGCAAUUGACGUUAGCGACAGAAGAAGCACCGGCUAACUCCGUGCCAGCAGCCGCGGUAAUACGGAGGGUGCGAGCGUUAAUCGGAAUUACUGGGCGUAAAGGGCACGCAGGCGGUUAAUUAAGUUGGAUGUGAAAUCCCCGGGCUUAACCUGGGAAUGGCAUUCAAGACUGGUUAGCUAGAGUCUUGUAGAGGGGGUAGAAUUCCAUGUGUAGCGGUGAAAUGCGUAGAGAUGUGGAGGAAUACCGGGUGGCGAAGGCGGCCCCUGGGACAAAGACUGACGCUCAUGUGCGAAAGCGUGGGGAGCAAACAGGGAUUAGAUACC